The sequence is a small nucleolar RNA, 93 nucleotides long. It matches the Rfam family "Small nucleolar RNA SNORD24". From Rfam's summary of the family: U24 is a member of the C/D class of snoRNA which contain the C (UGAUGA) and D (CUGA) box motifs. C/D box snoRNAs have been shown to act as methylation guides for a number of RNA targets. U24 is encoded within an intron of the gene for ribosomal protein L7a in mammals, chicken and Fugu.
UUCAAAUGAUGUAUUAAAUAUUUGCUACUUCAGACGGUCGCCUAUCUGCUUCCGAAUGAGACAUAACAAUUUAUCACCAAGAUCUCUGAUGAU